UGCCGGCGACCGGCGCACGGGUGAGUAACACGUAUGCAACCUGCCCUCCGCAGGGGGAUAACCCGGAGAAAUCCGGACUAAUACCGCGUGGUACAUCUGUGGGGCAUCCCACGGGUGUUAAAAGGAAGCGAUUCCGGCGGAGGAUGGGCACGCGGCGCAUUAGCUAGUUGGCGGGGUAACGGCCCACCAAGGCGACGAUGCGUAGGGGUUCUGAGAGGAAGGUCCCCCACACUGGUACUGAGACACGGACCAGACUCCUACGGAAGGCAGCAG
RNAcentral lists this ribosomal RNA (273 nucleotides) under uncultured bacterium. Its description in RNAcentral is "partial 16S ribosomal RNA". It matches the Rfam family "Bacterial small subunit ribosomal RNA", at positions 86 to 354 of the family's 1533-position model. The record is from RNAcentral.